Molecule: long non-coding RNA, 763 nt
Organism: Portunus trituberculatus (swimming crab)
Lineage: Eukaryota; Metazoa; Arthropoda; Malacostraca; Decapoda; Portunidae
Exons: 4
Source: RefSeq, a predicted model, not a curated record
UGAAAACCAAACACUUUAUCACGGAUUUCGCUCGCUACUGGUAGAGGGUAAUGAGUUUGUGAUGUUAGGAAAAGGACAAGAAGAGGCGUAACCCUGCUCCACAGGAAGGCGCUGCCGAUACAAAGGCCUAACUCAGAAGAAAUUCUGCGUCACCUGUAGCAUCAAGAUCAAAAUCAAGUAGACCCGUCCUGCACACUGAGCCUUCAGGAAUUGGCUUUCUCCAUCCAGGUCGUGGCGCCAAAAGCCGGGAGCUGAGAGCCGGGGUGAAGGUGUCCAUGGGCCUCAAUGUUUCUGACUGCUUUUACUAUCACUGCCUAAGGUUACACUCUACUACAGGUUGAAGAUAUUGGCCAGAACUCUUUCCACACAAUGCCUGGUGGUGGUGGUGACACAGGAAGCAAGGAAGAGUUGACAAGUCUAAGGAAACCAGCCAGAUCAAAGAAGGGAACAAGUAAACACCAAGGAAUUAACAGAUCAGUAUUUUUGGAGAAUUUUGUUUCAUAUUUACUUUUGUGCUUUUAAAUCUUGAUCUGCUGCUGAAGUUUAAAAACGGGUGACCACACAGAUGAUUGACGAAAAUCACUCCAUUUUGACAUUUUUAAUUUUUGUGCUAAAAUAUUUCCUUUGCCAUAGAACUACAACGUGGUAAGUGUGAAACACAUAUCUGAGCCAUAUAACCCAUUCCCUGCCCCCCAAAAGCUACCCCUCUCGCGCCCCAUCCCAGCCACUGCAUCGCAAUAGGCCAGCUCUGCCACACACACAC